GAUGAACGCUGGCGGCGUGCCUAAUACAUGCAAGUCGAGCGAACAGACUAGGAGCUUGCUCCUCUGACGUUAGCGGCGGACGGGUGAGUAACACGUGGAUAACCUACCUAUAAGACUGGGAUAACUUCGGGAAACCGGAGCUAAUACCGGAUAACAUGUUGAACCGCAUGGUUCAACAGUGAAAGACUGUCUUGCUGUCACUUAUAGAUGGAUCCGCGCCGCAUUUGCUAGUUGGUAAGGUAACGGCUUACCAAGGCAACGAUGCGUAGCCGACCUGAGAGGGUGAUAGGACACACUAGAACUGUGACAAGGUCCAGACUACUAAGGAAGGCAGCAGUAGGGAAUCUUCCGCAAUGGGCGAGAGCAUGAAGGAGAAACGCCGCGUGAGUGAAGAAAGUCUUCGGAUCGUAAAACUCUGUUAAUAGGGAAAAACAGAUGUGUAAGUAACUAUGCACGUCUUGACGGUAACUAAUCAGAAAGCCACGGAUAACUACGUG
Molecule: ribosomal RNA, 497 nt
Filed under: uncultured bacterium
Lineage: Bacteria
Description: partial 16S ribosomal RNA
Rfam family: Bacterial small subunit ribosomal RNA
Source: RNAcentral